GCCCUGGUGGUGCAACGGUUAAGCGCUUGGCUGCUAACCAAACGGUUGGUGGUUUGAAGCCACCCAGUGGCU
This 72-nucleotide transfer RNA is filed under the name Loxodonta africana (African savanna elephant). It matches the Rfam family "tRNA". From Rfam's summary of the family: Transfer RNA (tRNA) molecules are approximately 80 nucleotides in length. Their secondary structure includes four short double-helical elements and three loops (D, anti-codon, and T loops). The record is from Rfam by way of RNAcentral. Lineage: Eukaryota; Metazoa; Chordata; Mammalia; Proboscidea; Elephantidae.